Molecule: non-coding RNA, 72 nt
Organism: Phrynosoma platyrhinos (Desert horned lizard)
Lineage: Eukaryota; Metazoa; Chordata; Lepidosauria; Squamata; Phrynosomatidae
Source: the annotation of a GenBank genome assembly
GAAGUAGUGGUAUAGUGGUUUGAACAUUGGACUAGGACUCUGAAGAUUAGGGCUCAAAUCCCCACUAGACCA